CCUACGGGAGGCAGCAGUAAGGAAUAUUGGUCAAUGGAGGCAACUCUGAACCAGCCAUGCCGCGUGCAGGAAGACGGCCCUAUGGGUUGUAAACUGCUUUUGUACCAGAGAAAACCUACUCACGUGUGAGUAGCUGAUAGUAUGGUAAGAAUAAGCAUCGGCUAACUUCGUGCCAGCAGCCGCGGUAAGACGAAGGAUGCAAGCGUUAUCCGGAUUCAUUGGGUUUAAAGGGUGCGUAGGCGGACUUGUAAGUCAGUGGUGAAAUCUCUUCGCUUAACGAAGAAACUGCCAUUGAUACUGCAGGUCUAGAGUACAGAUGAUGUGGGCGGAAUAUGACAUGUAGUGGUGAAAUACUUAGAUAUGUCAUAGAACACCGAUUGCGAAGGCAGCUCACAAAACUGUAACUGACGCUGAGGCACGAAAGUGCGGGGAUCAAACAGGAUUAGAUACCCUGGUAGUCCGCACCGUAAACGAUGAUUACUCGUUGUUGGCGAUAUGACAGUCAAGCGACCAAGCGAAAGCGAUAAGAAUCCACCUGGGGAGUACGCCGGCAACGGUGAAACUCAAAGGAAUUAGACGGCGNGAGAGNGCGAGGACGACACGAGGGGAGGAGG
This 614-nucleotide ribosomal RNA is filed under the name uncultured bacterium. Its description in RNAcentral is "bacterial SSU rRNA". It matches the Rfam family "Bacterial small subunit ribosomal RNA", at positions 338 to 959 of the family's 1533-position model. The record is from RNAcentral.